UACGUAGGGAGCAAGCGUUGUUCGGAUUUACUGGGCGUAAAGGGCGCGUAGGCGGCAGAUUAAGUCAGCUGUGAAAUCUCCGAGCUUAACUCGGAACUGUCAGCUGAUACUGUUUUGCUAGAGUGCGGAAGGGGCAACCGGAAUUCUUGGUGUAGCGGUGAAAUGCGUAGAUAUCAAGAGGAACACCUGAGGUGAAGACGGGUUGCUGGGCCGACACUGACGCUGAGUGCGCGAAAGCCAGGGGAGCAAACGGG
Molecule: ribosomal RNA, 254 nt
Filed under: uncultured bacterium
Lineage: Bacteria
Description: partial 16S ribosomal RNA
Rfam family: Bacterial small subunit ribosomal RNA
Source: RNAcentral